Molecule: long non-coding RNA, 221 nt
Filed under: Gallus gallus (chicken)
Lineage: Eukaryota; Metazoa; Chordata; Aves; Galliformes; Phasianidae
Source: RNAcentral
AUGGAUUCCUCCCAGCAGCUGGGGUCAGCAGCGCCCGGAUCAGCACCUCAAUCUGCGAGCGGCUCCAUGGCGCCGCGCCGCCGCCGAGGCCGCGCUCCCGGAGGGGCGGGAGGGGACGGGACGGGGGAAGGGGAGGGGAGCGCGGUGCCGCCGCCGUCGCCCGCCCGGAACGCCGCGCCACCCCCGUUCCCGCCCGGAACGCUUUCGGGGGCGCACGCGGC